CACGUCUGUACCAGAAAGGGACUCCUGUGUCUUGGGCUACAAAUAUCUCAGAAAUGAUAUAAUGAUGGAAUGCUCACAUAUGUUCAUCAGUCUGGAGUCUGAAAACGAUUCUACUUUUUUAAAAGAUAAAAGGGCCAUGAAGAUUUCUAACAAGGUCCCUUCACUCUUCGAUCUCCCAUCAGUGCCCCGUCAGUGGAUGGAUUCAGAGCGUGGAAAGCAGCAUGGAGCCCCAGGACUCCGGUCUCCAGAUUACACCUGUUGGACAGGAAUCACCCCUGGCAACAAAGAUCUCCUUGUCUAGUACUGU
RNAcentral lists this long non-coding RNA (307 nucleotides) under Equus asinus (donkey). RNAcentral describes it as "lncRNA (ENSEASG00005025764.1)". The record is from RNAcentral. Lineage: Eukaryota; Metazoa; Chordata; Mammalia; Perissodactyla; Equidae.